Molecule: long non-coding RNA, 3566 nt
Organism: Acinonyx jubatus (cheetah)
Lineage: Eukaryota; Metazoa; Chordata; Mammalia; Carnivora; Felidae
Exons: 2
Source: RefSeq, a predicted model, not a curated record
GCUGGGCUCUGUGUCAUCCAGCUUCUCAUCUGAAAAGGGAGGCCCCCUAGCUGGGCCUCGUCCCUUCAGAAGGGCGCAUGGUGACGCUGAGGAGAUCCCCCAGAAGUCCCAUGGGCACAGCGGGGUGCAGGGGUCCUGACGCAGGCACCUCAGGCGGAAGUGGCCGUGCCUGGACCCAUCAAGUUCAGGGGGAGGCCUUUCUCCAGGUCUCUGCUAACGGCUGAAUUUUUCCCAAAGUGAAUCGAGCUAAAGCUGUAAAUUCUGAGUGCCAUGUCCUGGAGGCAGAUAGACCAACCGAGUCUGAGAAGUGAGGACGAGUCUUUGAGGCACCUUGGCCGUGUCCAACCAGCCCUGGGGGUCCGGGCUCUGGGAGGCAGGGGCUGUGGCCGACAGCUCUGUGUCCCUGCCUCGGCACUCACAGCUGACCGUGAGGAAAGCUGACUUGAAUUCCGAGCCCCCAGGAGCGUGGUGUCUCCAGAUGGAAUCUGAGUGCGGCGUGGUUCAGUUAACGCCCCCCCAUCUGGACAUGCCCGGACCCCAGCUGCCUGUGGUCCCAUCUUGUCCACGGCGCUCCUCCCCAACUAUAGCCAAGAACCCCGAGCGCGGCUACAAGUGUCCAGGAACUGUGGAUACUCAUUGAGCGAGGGUUUGCUCCGUGCCCGGCAUCGUGUGAAGCACUUUACCCGAGGAAGGGUGGUUACAGUUCCCACUGCAGAGUCCAGGAGACAGAAACCCGGGGAGGCGGAUGCACCUUGUAGCUUGCCCCCUCGCUCCCUGCUUUGUGCUCCCGGCAGGUGCCCGUGGCGAGGCUGCCCGGGCCUCCGUAUACUGCCCGUGGCGCUUAAGUGCCAAGGCGCCUGGGCCGGGGACCGAUUUUGUCACCGUGCCACGUGGUGCUCCUCCGUUCCUCCCUGCCCCCAGGUUCGGGCUGAGUCAGAUUCACCAGACCGGAACCCUCUGUCCUCCCCAGUUAGCCUCAUCACUGAUGCCCCUCCUGCACACAGAUGAUCUGUUUCCCCCGUGGGUUAGGAUACCCUGGGUACCCACCAGGAGAGCCAGCUUUCAAAGCUGGGGGUCCUGUCUCUCCCAGGGCCCCUCAGCCCCUCUGGAAAUGAGGCUGACAGGUCCAAGGGCCCUGAACACCACCACCCGCUAAGAGUCCUUGAGUGACAGGCACGUCGGGAUACAUACAGAUUGGGGGGGGGGUACGACCCACUUCUGUCCCUGGCAGCUUCAGUCCCCACUAAUGUGGCUUGUAUGUCGACGAAGGAAGGCACUGAGCGGCCACUGACACACUUAGGGUCAUUCUGAGCCCAGCUAGUGGGUGGCUGACGUGGGGUGACAUAUCCACCUUCAGUGCAUUCGAUGCGGGGUGGGAAGCAGAGUUCGAGAAGGUCACCUGGAAUACGGUGGGCCUUCAACCCAAUAUGACUGGUGUCCUUAUAAAAGGGAAAUUUGGAGGAGCCUGGGUGGCUCAGUCUAAGUGUCUGACUUCAAAUCAUGGUCUCGCGGUUUGUGAGUUCGAGCCCUGCGUUGGGCUCUGUGCUGACGGCUCGGAGCCUGGAGCCCCUUUCGGAUUCUGUGUCUCCCUCUCUCUCUGCCCCUCCCCAACUGGCGCUCUGUCUCUGCCUCUUUCUCAAAAAUAAACAGUGCACAAAUUUUUUUUUUUGGAAAGGGGGAAAUUUGGACACAGACAUGCACACAGAGAAUGCCAGGUGAAGGUCGGUCACGGUGCCAGAAAAGUAUUGGAAGUUGGGAGAGAGGGCCCGGAACGGAUCCUUGCCUGGUGCCUUUGGAGAGACAGCAGGCCAGGCAACGCCUUGAUCUUGGACUUCUGGCCUCCAGAACUGUGAGAAAAACAUUUUUUUUCUGUCGUCUAAGCUACUCAACUUGGGGUACUUUAUCAUGGCGUUCCUAGGACGUGAAUACACUUUCCGCGGGAUAUUGCCUAAUAACACAUGCCUGCACAGCCUUCCUUCUGGAAGCACGCUCCCGCCUUCCUCCCUGGGGACGCUGCCUGCUGCCUCCUGUUCUCACGAGUCCUUGUCACAGGGUGGGGUCCGCUCCUGGGCAAUACAACCUUUCAGGAGCGAUGGCAAACUUAACAGCUCCAACACGUCUGGAGAUCAGAUCUGGCCCCGCUUGGCAACCUCCGGUAGGGACUGCACACCCCAGCCUUGGGUGACGGGACGGGCUGCGGGCAGGACGCGGGACACGUGAGGCUCUGCUGCUGGUUGGCUGUGCACACCUGCUUCAGAAACCUUCCCGAGCCUCAGUCUCCGCAUGCAUAAAAUGGGUACCGUCUCGCACACCUUGCUUACCUCCUGGGGUGGUCAUGAAGGCGGAGGGACGCGGUUUAUUUAGCAAACGGUGCGUGCCGGCAAUGUUCUGACCGUGUGGCAAACCAGUCUUCUACUCCACCCCAAGAGCGCUCAGAAGGGGGUGCCGUGAAGACCCUAUUUCGUUCGUACAGAGGCUAAGUGACUGCUAAAUGUCCCCCAGCUGACAGGCGGGGGCAAUGGGCUUUGCGUCCAGGCGAGCGGACGGCCAAGUGUGUGCCCUUAGCCGACGCGUUUGGCUGCCUCUUGGGUGGCACUGAAAUUCCACACGGUUUUGUCCUCUUUGUUUUUUUCAUAAAGAGGGAGGAGGGAUGGGCACCCCUUGGCUUCUUCUUGGGGAGCUCUCUCAGCCAGCAGCUGCUGCCCCUGGAGGAACCGGGCGCGGGUUGUCACGGCGGCACAGGCUUCCUGACCCGUCUGGCCCGGGGCCAGUGUGCCGGGCCAAACAACCCACCGCCUUUUCUCCUCAGCAGAGGAUUUCCCGUAAGCAGCGGCUCCCUGCCUGUUGGCUCACAGACCUGCCAAGACCCACAGUCAGGAGAUUGCCUGGGCUCCUCCUCCACGGGGCUAGACGACAUCUGGGGGCAGAGGAGGGAGGGUUGGCGCUUCCCAGCUGAGACCUGGGCUACGCUGCCCACCCCACCCCAGUGUGUGGCUGGUGCAUGGGUGUAAGAAAAACCUAGAUCCGGGGGCGCCUGGGUGGCUCAGUCAGCGGAGCGUCCGGCUUCGGCUCAGGUCACGAUCUCACGGUUCCUGAGUUCAAGUCCCGCAUCAGGCUCUGUGCUGACAGCUCGGAGCCUGGAGCCCGCCUCAGAUUCUGUGUCUCCCUCUCCCCCUGCCCUUACCCCACUUGUGCUCUGUGUCGGUCUGUCUGUCUCUCUCUCUCUCUCUCAAAAAUAAAUAAACAUUAAAAAAAAUAGUUUAAGCAAGAAAGAAAAGCCUAGAUCCGGACCCCACCCUCCAGGUGGGAAUCCAGGCAACCAUUCACCUUGAUCCCAAACACCCUCAACCACACAAUGAGCGGAGAUCUGCAACCUGGCACAAGUCCCAGAAUUGUGCCCUGUUUAUUAACUUACUUUAAACCGGACACUUGUCAAACGUCCGUAGCGUGCCUGGCCCUGGGCUAGGUGGACAGAAGGAACACCUGCUCUUAUGGAGAUAAUACCCUAAUGGUGGAGGGGGGUAGAUAAAGGGGGAUAAAGAUUGUUUGAUAAAAAAACAAGACAA